RNAcentral lists this ribosomal RNA (363 nucleotides) under Triticum aestivum (bread wheat). RNAcentral describes it as "partial small subunit ribosomal RNA". The record is from RNAcentral. Lineage: Eukaryota; Viridiplantae; Streptophyta; Magnoliopsida; Poales; Poaceae.
AUGAGAUCCGUGGCAGCCGAUCUGGAGGAGGUCGCUCGACACGACGACGAUGUUCCCCUCCCUCACCCUUCUGACUUUCUGCCUUCUUUUUUCCUGACGACCAGGCCCCCCCGCGUGAGUGGAUCUGGGAUUGGCAGGUGGCCAAAUCCGACAUCCGGCAUCGCGGGUGACGGACGGCGGGCAGUGCGGGCGGCGACGCCGUGCAGUUCGCCAUGCGCCCAUGGCAGCACCACCUUCCUCCCCUCCACCUACCUCCCUCGUCGCCAGGGCGUUCGUCGCGCUGGCCACCACCCGUCUCACCACCACCAGCGCCUUCUCCCUCUGCGCUGCGAGGGACAGGGAGAUGCACCGCCACAGCACUAG